Molecule: ribosomal RNA, 411 nt
Filed under: Heterokrohnia longidentata
Lineage: Eukaryota; Metazoa; Chaetognatha; Sagittoidea; Monophragmophora; Heterokrohniidae
Description: partial 16S ribosomal RNA
Rfam family: Bacterial large subunit ribosomal RNA
Source: RNAcentral
UUUCUUAAUUAUAUAUUAAGUAAACUCUGCCCAGUCUUAGAAACGGCCAUAGAAUAAAUAACUAUGCAAAGGUAGCAUAAUUACUUGCCGCUUAAUUAGCGGAUUGUUUGAAUGAGUUAUUGAAUAUUAUAUUAUGGUAAGGAAACUAUCACAUUUAAAAAGUAGGUGAAAAUCCCUAUUUAUAAGGAGUAGACGAGAAGACCCUAAAACCUAUCGUUGAUUUGUUGGGGAAACAGGCUAUUAAAUUUAGAAUUACAACCUUUUUAUAAAUAAUUAGGUACUUUAGGGAUAACAGCAUAAUAUUUUUUUUAUAGCCCUUAUAUUAAAAAAAGAGUAUGACCUCGAUGUUGAACUAGAAUAAAGCCUAACAGCAGCUGGUUAGGUGAAGUGACUGUUCGUCACUGUGUUUCU